UGAGUGUGCAGGGAAGAUCACAGGGAAGGGUAAGCACCCUAUCUUCUGACACCACCACCAGUGCUUGAGUGUCAUGCUGAAGCAAGACACUUCUUGACUGUUAAUUCUCCAUCCAAGCCCUUCUUGAGUCCAGUUUUCCAAAAGCAAAGUUUAACAAGAGCAUCAGUGAUCUUUGUGUCUUCCUUUUUAUUCCUCUGAGUGGACAAGUCUGCUUCUAACUUUUCAGAGAUCCAAGAUAUUCUUACCUGAGCCUGCAAAACUUUCAUCUGAGGAUCAAAAACAACCAGGAACAAUUUCAACCUCUCUGUAGUGUGACUGGAUAUUGCACCUGCCUACUCCAGCCUCUCCAGCUCUUUUCCGUAGUAGUGUGCAUGCUGUUGCUGCAACCAGACCAGAUUACCUGCUUAACGAAAUUCUCCUGUGACUUCUCGAAUAUAUAUGAACUAAACACUGCUGACUGUCAAUAUACACCUUUGAAGGACGGGAGGGAGAAGAGUCAACAUGUUGCAGGUUUUUCCUUUUUUAGGAAAAUCAUAUGCUUACAACAAACUAGCAUCAGUUGCAAUUGGAAUAAAAAUAGGAGUCAGUUCAUGGCAAGAGACAG
Gallus gallus (chicken) is the source of this 604-nucleotide long non-coding RNA. The record is from Ensembl. Lineage: Eukaryota; Metazoa; Chordata; Aves; Galliformes; Phasianidae.